Molecule: ribosomal RNA, 423 nt
Filed under: uncultured bacterium
Lineage: Bacteria
Description: bacterial SSU rRNA
Rfam family: Bacterial small subunit ribosomal RNA
Source: RNAcentral
UGAGGAAUAUUGGUCAAUGGGCGAGAGCCUGAACCAGCCAAGUCGCGUGAGGGAUGAAUGUCUUAUAGAUUGUAAACCUCUUUUGUCGGGGAGCAAAGGACGCCACGUGUGGCGUGAUGAGAGUACCCGAAGAAAAAGCAUCGGCUAACUCCGUGCCAGCAGCCGCGGUAAUACGGAGGAUGCAAGCGUUAUCCGGAUUUAUUGGGUUUAAAGGGUGCGUAGGCGGAUCCUUAAGUCAGCGGUAAAAUCGUGCGGCUCAACCGCAUCAAGCCGUUGAAACUGGGGAUCUUGAGUGAGCGAGAAGUAUGCGGAAUGCGUGGUGUAGCGGUGAAAUGCAUAGAUAUCACGCAGAACUCCGAUUGCGAAGGCAGCAUACCGGCGCUCAACUGACGCUGAAGCACGAAAGCGUGGGUAUCGAACAGG